RNAcentral lists this ribosomal RNA (492 nucleotides) under uncultured bacterium. RNAcentral describes it as "partial 16S ribosomal RNA". It matches the Rfam family "Bacterial small subunit ribosomal RNA", at positions 29 to 507 of the family's 1533-position model. The record is from RNAcentral.
AGUGAACGCUGGCGGUAGGCCUAACACAUGCAAGUCGAACGGCAGCACAGUAAGAGCUUGCUCUUACGGGUGGCGAGUGGCGGACGGGUGAGGAAUACAUCGGAAUCUACUUUUUCGUGGGGGAUAACGUAGGGAAACUUACGCUAAUACCGCAUACGACCUACGGGUGAAAGCAGGGGAUCUUCGGACCUUGCGCGAUUGAAUGAGCCGAUGUCGGAUUAGCUAGUUGGCGGGGUAAAGGCCCACCAAGGCGACGAUCCGUAGCUGGUCUGAGAGGAUGAUCAGCCACACGGGAACUGAGACACGGUCCAGAGUCCUACGGGAGGCAGCAGUGGGGAAGAGUGGACAAUGGGCGCAAGCCUGAUCCAGCCAUACCGCGUGGGUGAAGAAGGCCUUCGGGUUGUAAAGCCCUUUUGUUGGGAAAGAAAAGCAGCAGGUUAAAACCCCGCUGUGCUGACGGUACCCAAUGAAUAAGCACCGGCUAACUUCGUG